UUGACGGGGCCCGCACAAGCGGUGGAGCAUGUGGUUUAAUUCGAAGCAACGCGAAGAACCUUACCAGGUCUUGACAUCCCCUGACAACCCGAGAGAUUGGGCGUUCCCCUUCGGGGGACAGGGUGACAGGUGGUGCAUGGUUGUCGUCAGCUCGUGUCGUGAGAUGUUGGGUUAAGUCCCGCAACGAGCGCAACCCUCGCCUCUAGUUGCCAGCAUUCGGUUGGGCACUCUAGAGGGACUGCCGGCGACAAGUCGGAGGAAGGUGGGGAUGACGUCAAAUCAUCAUGCCCCUUAUGACCUGGGCUACACACGUGCUACAAUGGGCGGUACAAAGGGCUGCGAACCCGCGAGGGGGAGCGAAUCCCAAAAAGCCGCUCUCAGUUCGGAUUGUAGGCUGCAACUCGCCUGCAUGAAGCCGGAAUCGCUAGUAAUCGCGGAUCAGCAUGCCGCGGUCGAAUACGUUCCCGGGCCUU
Molecule: ribosomal RNA, 473 nt
Filed under: uncultured Geobacillus sp.
Lineage: Bacteria; Bacillati; Bacillota; Bacilli; Caryophanales; Anoxybacillaceae
Description: bacterial SSU rRNA
Rfam family: Bacterial small subunit ribosomal RNA
Source: RNAcentral